Drosophila bipectinata is the source of this 3937-nucleotide RNA transcript. It is a transcript of the gene named Rab11 interacting protein, with no coding region annotated. NCBI's taxonomy places the organism in Eukaryota, Metazoa, Arthropoda, Insecta, Diptera, Drosophilidae. The record is from RefSeq and is a predicted model, not a curated record.
CAGCUAAAAAACACAUCUAUAGUCUGGAAUUCAAGCACUCUUUGGACACCAAAUCGGUCGGUUCGCGACUCUCUGCGCUCCUUUCUUCUUUUUUUUUACAAUACGACUAUACGACUAUUUCGUUUCCCUACAAUUCGUGGCGCGCGUGACCAGAAGCAACAAAAUACGGCCUAAGUGCGGUGUGACAGGCGGCAAUAAAUAUUGAUGUGACAUACAAAAGCGAAAGCUGCCAAACAAACACACACACAUUUUAAAAGCAGCUAGGGACGCAAGCGGUCAACAGGAGACAGCCAGGCGCUACACACCGAGAGAGAGAGAGUGUGGAGAGAGAGAGCGAAGCAAGGACCUUCGCAUCCAGAGAGAGAGAGUGACAGGCGAUCAACAACAAACGGGAUACAGGGUGUCAUGUGGAGUCCGACGCACUGCAAUGUAACGGUGCUGCGAGCGCGUGGACUGCAAACCAAGGGCAAGAAUGGCACCAACAACUGCUUCGUCACCAUUGCCCUGGGCAAGGAGAAGUACCAGACCUCGGUCAAGGACAAGUCCGAGCCGAGUGUCAACUGGAACGAGGAGUGCGAGCUAAAAAUUCCUGAUCAGGGCAACCGGGCUGAACUCACCCUGACCUGCCUGCACAGGAAUAACCUGAGUUUGGAUGAGUUCCUUGGCCAGGUGACGUUGCCCCUCAACGAGAUGGAUGUUUAUGAUCGGCCCAGGGCCAAGUGGUUCAAGCUGGAGAGCAAGCCCGGCAAGGAGAAGAAGAACAAGGAACGCGGCGAACUGGAGGUGCGCAUCGCCUUUGUGGUCAAGUCCGGAUCGCUGACCGAUCUCAGCAAGAAGGACAAGCACAAGUCUUCCAUCGGCCAGCUGGCCAGCUCCGUGGGCGGCAGCCUGCUGUCGAUCGGCAAUGGAGAGAAGCGCCGGAGCAUCAAGAAGCUGGCUGGGUCGCUCAGCUCCAAAUUGCACAUCCGCAGCAAGAAGAAGCAGGAGGCGGGCGGCGAUGACAGUAGCUCGUUUGGUGGCUCCUUUGCCAGCCUGGGCACGCCCAACAGCUCGACGGGAAGGGGCCAGAACGGUGGCAGUGGACGGCGACGCGGUGGGCAGCGGGCGGGCGAGGCCGAUCCGGGUGUGAUAAGCGAGGACGAGGACGAGUUUGUGUUCGACAAUCUAUCGCACAAGAGCUCCGGCAGUUCGCUGAACAUCCAGAGAUCGGGACUGCAGCCACCGGCGGCCGGUACGCCCAACUUCGCCCCGCGGCAUCCGUCACCCUUGCUGAACAACAACAACGGCGUGAGCGGCGUGGGGGCCAAAGGUAAGCCAGCGGGUAGGCCAGCAACGCUCGAUGAGGAUAUGCCCAUCGACGCGGAGAUGGAACAGCUUGAGCUCGAUUUCAGUGUCCGUGCCCAUGCUCGUGCGAAUUCCAGCGCAGUCGGUGGUGGUGGUGCUGGAGGUGGAGGAGGAGUCGGAGGCGUCAGUACACUGCCUCCAUCGAAGCCGCCGCGUAUUCCGGAGCAACUGGAGAGGGAACGGGAGCGUGAACGGGAAAAGGAACUGGAACAGGAACGGGAACGAGAACAGAAGCUGGAGCAGGAGCGCAAGAAGCAACAAGAGCUGGACGCCACCACGGAUGAGUGGGCCACCAAGCUGUAUGGCGGCAGCAAGUUCCUGGAGAUUGGAACCAGUGAUUCCCUGAAGCGACGCAGCUGGGAGGCGCGUGUGCCGAUCCCCGCCAGCACUGACGAGCCGCCGCCAGUGCCCACAUCCAGCAGCUCGUCGUCUAGUUGGAGCUCGGAAAGCGACGAAGAGGAGCCAGUGGUGGUAGCUAAGCCACCUCCUGCCCCAAAGGCAGCCCCACCACCAUCCCAAACCGAGACCCUAAUCCCUCCUCCAGUGGUGCCUGCUCCUGUGGUGUCCACACCAAAAGUGCCCACUCCCGUGGUGCCUACUCCUUCUCUUGGAAUGGGCACUCCACUGGCCUCCUCUUCGUCCCUUUUCUCGCCCGAGGUGGAGCAUCGCAACUUUGACACCUUCAACGCUAGCUUCGCCAAGUUUGAGCAGCGAAACAGCACUGCUAUCUUUGCGGACGAACCGGAGCUGGAGGACCUGGAGCCAGAGCCGGAGCGGAAGGCGCCCACGCCCACAGCCCGUCCCAAGCCCCAGCCCAGGGUGCUGAUCGAUCCCCGGGCGGAGGAGGAGAAGGAGAAGGCCAGACAGCAGCGGGCCGAGGAGGAUGCCCGCCUGGAGGCGGAGCUGCGCCUGAACGAGCAGCGUCUGCGCGAAGAGGAGGCUGCCCUGCAGCGUGAACUGGAAGAGGAGGAGGCGGAACGGGAGCGGGAGCGAGUGCGAGACCUCGAACGCCAGAAGCUGGAGGAGCAGCGCCGCCGCGAGGCCAAGCGCUGGGAGGAGGAUCAGCGUCUGCUGAGCUUCGCCAAACGCUCCACAUCGCUGGAAGAGCCAGUUGGCACCAAAAUCAUAGUACCCGUGGACCCAGAGGCCGAGAUUGAUGUGGAUAUAGAGCUAGAUGUGGAGCCGGAACACAAUUUCCUGACGCCCGAACAGUCGCCCAAGGAAUUCCAGACGAAUGGCGGUGAGAAGCGGCUGGGCAAGUUCAAGUAUGGGAACAAGCGAGAUAAAUAUAAUAAUGAGAAUGAUAGCAACUCGCCCAGUCCCAAGGCCACCGAAAGGAUCAUCAUUGGCCACGAAAAGUCACAAUCGCAUGCUGAGCGCCGAUCGGAGAUCUCUGCCCAGUUGGCCAAGAAAUACGAAGGCAAAUCCCGUGAGGAACUUAUGCUAAUUGCCAAUGGUAUGGAGAAUGAGGCUUUGCUGCAACGACAGCGGGUUAAGGAACUGGAGGACUAUCUGGACAAUCUGCUCCUCCGGGUGAUGGAGACGCAUCCCAAGAUCCUACAGAAUCCCUACUCGCGCACCACAUCCGCCAAGAGUUAUAAAAAUUACAUCAAUAUGAAUGACUUUCUUAAGUAAAAGUGUGCUGCGCAUGUUGCAAGUUGCAUUUAAAAACUAGAUAACUUGACCUUCAACAACAACUACCACAACAACAACAACAACAAAAAUCAUCACAACAACCACAAAAAUAAUAAAAAACAGGAAGUACAGUGAAACCAGGAAGAGGAGCCGAACCAAAAGGCGGAAGAAGAGCAUCCCCCCGAACGGUUAAAAAAGCCAAACUUGUCACACACACACACCUCCCCACACACACUUACAUAUAUACAUGAAGCUUCAAGGACUUCCUACAAGGUCACAGGAUCUGGAUAAGAACACCAAGUUGCCUUUGUCGUUGGACAGCGAAAUUCAAGUGCUUUCUAAACAAAAUAACCUCCCUCCCCCCCAAAAACACCAAAAGAUGGUACGGGAGGGGGUAUAUCCUAAAUUAAAUUAUAAAAACCAAGUAGUUGUAGGCUUUAAGGACUUGCAUACUGAUAUUUCCGGUACAUGUCGUUCUAUUUCGUAUAUAUCCUGUACUAAAAAUGAACUAAAUUAUUUGUACUAUACACCCACACCUACACACACAACAAGACCGUUUAUAUAUAUAAAUUUUUAUCUAUAUGUUUCGAUUCGAGUCCCCCCUAAUCGAUUGAUUGAAAUUAUCCGAAAGUAUUUUGUUUUUUUUUUUUUAAUGUCAAAUUUUUAUGUAAUAUUUGUUGUGCAAAAAAAAAAAAAGAGAUAGUGAGAAAAGUUUGAGAACGUUUUUUUGUAAAGCGUCGCCGGGGAAGCGACCUUAGUGAGUUAAGUCUUAAAUUAUUUAUGUUUUAGUGCUUAAGCCAAAUGGCGGGAAUAGCGGGGUCACCCAUUGACCCCGAAAUAACACACAUACACCACACCACACAUACACACACACAGUUGAAAUAUGUUGAUACUACUAUGAUUUUACUUAUUGAUAUACAACUCAAACAAUAAAAAUAUUUUUAACAUUAAUAACAAA